This 449-nucleotide ribosomal RNA is filed under the name uncultured bacterium. RNAcentral's name for it is "bacterial SSU rRNA". It matches the Rfam family "Bacterial small subunit ribosomal RNA", at positions 28 to 507 of the family's 1533-position model. The record is from RNAcentral.
GACGAACGCUGGCGGCAUGCUUAACACAUGCAAGUUGUACGAGAUGAUUUUCUUCGGAUAUCAUUUAGUGGCGGACGGGUGCGUAACGCGUAAGAAUCUACCCUUAGGUGUGGGAUAACUAUUGGAAACGAUAGCUAAUACCGCAUAUGCUGAGGAGUGAAAGCUUGAAAAAGCGCCUAGGGAUGAGCUUGCGUCUGAUUAGUUUGUUGGUGGGGUAAAGCUUACCAAGACUACGAUCAGUAGUUGGUCUGAGAGGAUGAUCAGCCACACUGGGACUGAGACACGGCCCAGACUCCUACGGGAGGCAGCAGUGAGGAAUUUUCCGCAAUGGGCGAAAGCCUGACGGAGCAAUGCCGCGUGGAGGAUGAAGGCUCGCGGGUCGUAAACUCCUUUUCUCGAAGAAGAAACAAAUGACGGUACUCGAGGAAUAAGUAUCGGCUAACUUCGUG